CGGAGCGGGUGUCCGGGCGCAGACGCCGACGACCAGGACCGCUCGGCCGUGGCGGGGCGCGUGCGCAGACGGCCGGGCCGGCAGACGCUGGAGGCGCCGGGGAGCAGGGAAUUUUGUAUACUUUGACCGAGUGAAACCAUCGGACCACCCCGAGAAGCUGCUGACGUUCUUCGAUGCCCUCGGGAGAGGGCCGUGAGCUGGAGGGGCCCGCCUGGCCCGCGACAGGGGCCUUCCUUACCUUGUCGUGGAUUCGGCCGGUCCAGGGCUCGCUGUGUCCCUCGUCGUUUUCCAGCUUAUGAGACAUUAUUUCCUUCUAGAAAUCUUUAUGCCGGUUCCUCUUCCUACCAACCGCGACCCGGGAAGCGCGCGGUCUCUGUUCCGAGCCGCGGUCACCGUUCCAGUCGCCGCUCCUUUGUGGAGGAGCCUGGGAGGCGGAACUCCCGCUGCGGUCCGCGAAGGGAGAAUCCCUUUCCUCGUGAUUCCGGCAGCAGACUUGUCACCGCGGAGCUUAGACCCGCGGCGGCUGCUCCUCACACGGAGCCAACGCCCUGUGCGGGGCCAGGCACUUGGGCUGGACGGAGAAGGGCGGGCUUGUCUGGGUGCCCCCUUGGUAACAACACAGUAACGAUUCAAGCCACUUGGCCGGGCUGGGUCCGUGGACUCCUGUGCCCCUUUUUCUAGAAUUUCCAGAGUGAUCUCUACACUGCUGAUAGAACCGUUUGGUCGUGUGUUAGACGUCGUAACAGGUGUUGAUCAGGAAGAGUCCCUCAAGACCGGACACGAGAUCUUUCAGGCGUCUGCCAACGUUUACUUGGUGCAGAUCCGUCAGCUGCGUGACUCGGGUGCAGCAAGCUGGCUCCCCAGCAGCGUGCCGGACUGUUGAUUCGUCCUGGAGGUUCUAAGAGGGCCACACUGAACUUCUUUUGGAAGCAGAAUCCACAUAACAUAAAAUCGGGUAUCUUCAAAUGUGUGAUCCCGUGGUCUUGAGUUCACUCGCUGUACUGUGCUACCGCCCCCUCUGCUGAGCUCCAGACCACUUCACGACCCUCAAGGAAACCCCACACUCAUUGCGGGGUCACUCCCCACUCCGCAUUCCCCACCAGGCCCCGGACAGCCACCGCGCUGCUUCUGUCUGUAGACUGGCCUGUCUGGGAAGUUCCUGUAACUGACACGACAUCUGGCCUACAGGUCUGACUUCACUCACUUGGUGUAACGUUUUCAAACUUGGUCCACGUCGUAGCGUUUUUCAGUAUCUGGUUCAUUUUUAUGGCCCAGGCUCAUUGUUUAUGGGCACCAAAUUUUAUUUUACAACCAUGACAGAAAUUUAAAAUCUAGCGCAGAUGCGAUUUGCCUCAUACGAUGCCGCGAGCAUUGCUAAGUGACGCGCGGGGUGGGUGUCGGACGUCACUCUCCACUUGAGUUUCGGAGGGGCCCUUGGCAUUACCCACCCUCCGUCAGGGAGGCCAUCAGCAGAGACCCCGCUCUCCCUCUAUCAGCUUACUGUCAAAGCAUGUGAGAUCUGUCCUAAUUUAGCUAAAGUCGAUUGUACCAGAAAAUACAACUUCAAGCUCUUUGUCUA
Molecule: long non-coding RNA, 1579 nt
Organism: Neogale vison (American mink)
Lineage: Eukaryota; Metazoa; Chordata; Mammalia; Carnivora; Mustelidae
Exons: 2
Source: RefSeq, a predicted model, not a curated record